CCUACGGGAGGCAGCAGUGGGGAAUAUUGCACAAUGGGGGAAACACUGAUGCAGCGACGCCGCGUGAGUGAAGAAGUAUUUCGGUAUGUAAAGCUCUAUCAGCAGGGAAGAAGCAAGACGGUACCUGACUAAGAAGCCCCGGCUAACUACGUGCCAGCAGCCGCGGUAAUACGUAGGGGGCAAGCGUUAUCCGGGUUUACUGGGUGUAAAGGGAGCGUAGACGGUAUGGCAAGUCUGAAGUGGAAGCCCAGGGCUUAACCCUGGGACUGCUUUGGAAACUGUUAGACUAGAGUGCGAGAGAAGUAAGUGGAAUGCCUAGUGUAGCGGUGAAAUGCAUAGAUAUUAGGAGGAACACCAGUGGCGAAGGCGGCUUACUGGACAGUAACUGACGUUGAGGCUCGAAAGCGUGGGGAGCGAACAGGAUUAGAUACCCCAGUAGUC
RNAcentral lists this ribosomal RNA (441 nucleotides) under uncultured bacterium. RNAcentral describes it as "partial 16S ribosomal RNA". It matches the Rfam family "Bacterial small subunit ribosomal RNA", at positions 338 to 795 of the family's 1533-position model. The record is from RNAcentral.